CAAGAUUGAGAGGAGAAUAUGCUGCAGACAGAUGACAAAGUGUCACGAAUCCCGCUUCCUGAGUCUGUGUUUGCCUGUGUUUCUGUCCUGGAGUGUGUUUCCGGUGUCCUGGAUCGCACCCUGUCUGGUUGCCUGGCGAAUUAGCUUGUUGGGAGAUCGAUGUUCACCCGCACCUGUAUCCCAUCAGUAAUCUGCACACCUGUUCUGAUCAUCAACUCUCCCCUUCAAAAGCUCUGACCUGACAUCCAUUCCCUGCCGGAUCGUUAGCCAUGAACAUUACUCACCCGGAUCAUUUACCCCAUUCCCGCCUGGUCGUCGGAGGAUUCCGCUACCCCAUUGGAUCCACCUAUUUACUCCCAUCAACUCACCACCGCUGCCCGCUACGCCACCUGGAUAUAUCUACAUAUUCACAUUCACUUGUAAAUAAAUACUCACCUUCUUACUA
Oncorhynchus nerka (sockeye salmon) is the source of this 445-nucleotide long non-coding RNA. RefSeq lists it as uncharacterized. Lineage: Eukaryota; Metazoa; Chordata; Actinopteri; Salmoniformes; Salmonidae. The transcript is spliced from 2 exons. The record is from RefSeq and is a predicted model, not a curated record.